RNAcentral lists this ribosomal RNA (744 nucleotides) under uncultured Methanoculleus sp. Its description in RNAcentral is "bacterial SSU rRNA". It matches the Rfam family "Archaeal small subunit ribosomal RNA", at positions 84 to 836 of the family's 1478-position model. Lineage: Archaea; Methanobacteriati; Methanobacteriota; Methanomicrobia; Methanomicrobiales; Methanomicrobiaceae. The record is from RNAcentral.
UACGGCUCAGUAACACGUGGAUAACUGCCCUAAGGAAGGGGAUAACCUCGGGAAACUGAGGAUAAUACCCUAUAGGAUACCGAUGCUGGAAUGCCCGGUAUCCCAAAGCUCCGGCGCCCUAGGAUGGAUCUGCGGCCGAUUAGGUCGUUGUUGGGGUAACGGCCCAACAAGCCGAUAAUCGGUACGGGUUGUGGGAGCAAGAGCCCGGAGUUGGAUUCUGAGACACGAAUCCAGGCCCUACGGGGCGCAGCAGGCGCGAAAACUUUACAAUGCGGGCAACCGUGAUAAGGGAACCUCGAGUGCCUGUACAUGCAGGCUGUCUGGGUGUCUAAAACACACCCAAAGAAAGGGCCGGGCAAGACCGGUGCCAGCCGCCGCGGUAAUACCGGCGGCUCGAGUGGUGGCCACUUUUAUUGGGCUUAAAGCGUUCGUAGCUGGGUUGUUAAGUCUCUUGGGAAAUCUGGCAGCUUAACUGUCAGGCGUCUAAGAGAUACUGGCAAUCUAGGAACCGGGAGAGGUGAGGGGUACUUCGGGGGUAGGAGUGAAAUCCUGUAAUCCUCGAGGGACCACCUGUGGCGAAGGCGCCUCACCAGAACGGCUUCGACAGUGAGGGACGAAAGCUGGGGGAGCAAACCGGAUUAGAUACCCGGGUAGUCCCAGCCGUAAACGAUGCGCGUUUGGUUGUCGAUGACCACGAGUCAUCGAGGUGCCGAAGGGAAACCGUGAAACGCGCCGCCUKGAAGU